UCGGGAAUUUUGGGCAAUGGGCGAAAGCCUGACCCAGCAACGCCGCGUGAGGGAUGAAGUAUUUCGGUAUGUAAACCUCGAAAGAAUGGGAAGAAUAAAUGACGGUACCAUUUAUAAGCUCCGGCUAACUACGUGCCAGCAGCCGCGGUAAUACGUAGGGAGUAAGCGUUGUUCGGAUUUACUGGGCGUAAAGGGCGCGUAGGCGGCGCGGUAAGUCACUUGUGAAAUCUCUGAGCUUAACUCAGAACGGCCAAGUGAUACUGCUGUGCUAGAGUGCGGAAGAGGCAACCGGAAUUCUUGGUGUAGCGGUGAAAUGCGUAGAUAUCAAGAGGAACACCUGAGGCGAAGGCGGGUUGCUGGGCCGACACUGACGCUGAUGCGCGAAAGCCAGGGGAGCAAACG
This 402-nucleotide ribosomal RNA is filed under the name uncultured bacterium. RNAcentral describes it as "bacterial SSU rRNA". It matches the Rfam family "Bacterial small subunit ribosomal RNA", at positions 355 to 774 of the family's 1533-position model. The record is from RNAcentral.